Long non-coding RNA from Artibeus jamaicensis (Jamaican fruit-eating bat), 447 nucleotides. RefSeq lists it as uncharacterized. Lineage: Eukaryota; Metazoa; Chordata; Mammalia; Chiroptera; Phyllostomidae. The record is from RefSeq and is a predicted model, not a curated record. The transcript has 2 exons.
UUCACCCUCUACUGAGGCUUAGCAACAACCAGUGGAACCAGAGGGUAUUUUGUUUGGAUUAGGUCAACAGUCAUCUUCUGAGAUUUUCAUCUAUCCUUUUUGUUACGGUGCAGUAGUCUCUGUUCCAACCUUCCAUCUGAAUCACAAAUGUCUUAGAAUAGCUCAUCCUGAUAAAUGGCAUGGAAAGCUUCUGCCUUCUGGGAUUUCUAUUCAGGGGCUGCCGGCCUGCCCAGAGUCUCCUCGGCCCAUCUUUGAGGGACCUUCAAAGCUAAGCACAAACAGAAGCAAGCUCAGAGUUCUCUGUUUACCAAAGCCACAGAGGCUGGUCACCUAAAUUACUGGUCUACACAGGACAAAUAGAAUAUAUGAGUAUUCCGUCAAUGAGAAAAAUAAAUAAAUACAAAUGACUAGGAGAAUAAAAACAACAACAAUAAUAAUGCUAUCUUA